Molecule: small nucleolar RNA, 99 nt
Filed under: Xenopus laevis (African clawed frog)
Lineage: Eukaryota; Metazoa; Chordata; Amphibia; Anura; Pipidae
Description: Small nucleolar RNA U13
Rfam family: Small nucleolar RNA U13
Source: Rfam by way of RNAcentral
AUCCUUCUGGUUCUUACACGUGAUGAGCGGGUGUUCACGCUUUGUGCGUGAGAUGUGCCUUCCCACAUUGUUACGACUCGGCACAGUACCCUUCUGAUU